RNAcentral lists this ribosomal RNA (389 nucleotides) under uncultured bacterium. RNAcentral describes it as "bacterial SSU rRNA". It matches the Rfam family "Bacterial small subunit ribosomal RNA", at positions 125 to 507 of the family's 1533-position model. The record is from RNAcentral.
UCUGCCUAGUGGUGGGGGAUAACGUUCGGAAACGGACGCUAAUACCGCAUACGGUCCUACGGGAGAAAGCGGGGGAUCUUCGGACCUCGCGCCAUUAGAUGAGCCUAGGUCGGAUUAGCUAGUUCGGUGAGGUAAUGGCUCACCAAGGCGACGAUCCGUAACUGGUCUGAGAGGAUGAUCAGUCACACUGGAACUGAGACACGGUCCAGACUCCUACGGGAGGCAGCAGUGGGGAAUAUUGGACAAUGGGCGAAAGCCUGAUCCAGCCAUGCCGCGUGUGUGAAGAAGGUCUUCGGAUUGUAAAGCACUUUAAGUUGGGAGGAAGGGUAGUAACCUAAUACGUUGCUACUUUGACGUUACCGACAGAAUAAGCACCGGCUAACUUCGUG